GAAUAUUGGACAAUGGGGGGAACCCUGAUCCAGCCAUGCCGCGUGUGUGAAGAAGGCCUUUUGGUUGUAAAGCACUUUAAGCGAGGAGGAGGAGCUCUAGGUUAAUACCCAAGAUGCUUGGACGUUACCGACAGAAUCAGCACCGGCUAACUUCGUGCCAGCAGCCGCGGUAAUACGAAGGGUGCAAGCGUUAAUCGGAAUUACUGGGCGUAAAGCGCGGGUAGGUGGUUUGUUAAGUUGGAAGUGAAAGCCCCGGGCUCAACCUGGGAACUGCUUUCAAAACUGGCAAGCUAGAGUAUGGCUGAGGGUGGUGGAAUUUCCUGUGUAGCGGUGAAAUGCGUAGAUAUAGGAAGGAACACCAGUGGCGAAGGCGACCACCUGGGCUAAUACUGACACUGAGGUGCGAAAGCGUGGGGAGCAAACAG
Molecule: ribosomal RNA, 425 nt
Filed under: uncultured bacterium
Lineage: Bacteria
Description: bacterial SSU rRNA
Rfam family: Bacterial small subunit ribosomal RNA
Source: RNAcentral